GAUGAACGCUGGCGGCGUGCCUAAUACAUGCAAGUCGAGCGAACAGACGAGAGUGCUUGCACUCUCUGACGUUAGCGGCGGACGGGUGAGUAACACGUGGGUAACCUACCUAUAAGACUGGGAUAACUUCGGGAAACCGGAUCUAAUACCGGAUAAUAUUUAGCUUCGCAUGAAGCAAUAGUGAAAGACGGCUCUGCUGUCACUUAUAGAUGGACCCGCGGUGUAUUAGCUAGUUGGUGAGGUAACGGCUCACCAAGGCAACGAUACAUAGCCGACCUGAGAGGGUGAUCGGCCAUACUGGGACUGAGACACGGCCCAGACUCCUACGGGAGGCAGCAGUAGGGAAUCUUCCGCAAUGGACGAAAGUCUGACGGAGCAAUGCCGCGUGAGUGAAGAAGGUUUUCGGAUCGUAAAACUCUGUUGUAAGGGAAGAACAAGUACGUUAGUAACUGAACGUACCUUGACGGUACCUUACCAGAAAGCCACGGCUAACUACGUG
This 499-nucleotide ribosomal RNA is filed under the name uncultured bacterium. RNAcentral's name for it is "partial 16S ribosomal RNA". It matches the Rfam family "Bacterial small subunit ribosomal RNA", at positions 28 to 507 of the family's 1533-position model. The record is from RNAcentral.